RNAcentral lists this ribosomal RNA (460 nucleotides) under uncultured bacterium. RNAcentral's name for it is "partial 16S ribosomal RNA". It matches the Rfam family "Bacterial small subunit ribosomal RNA", at positions 338 to 795 of the family's 1533-position model. The record is from RNAcentral.
CCUACGGGAGGCAGCAGUGAGGAAUAUUGGUCAAUGGGCGUAAGCCUGAACCAGCCAAGUCGCGUGAGGGAUGAAGGCUCUAUGGAUCGUAAACCUCUUUUAUAAGGGAAUAAAGUGUGGGACGUGUCCUGUUUUGUAUGUACCUUAUGAAUAAGGAUCGGCUAACUCCGUGCCAGCAGCCGCGGUAAUACGGAGGAUCCGAGCGUUAUCCGGAUUUAUUGGGUUUAAAGGGUGCGUAGGCGGCCUUUUAAGUCAGCGGUGAAAGUCUGUGGCUCAACCAUAGAAUUGCCGUUGAAACUGGGAGGCUUGAGUAUGUUUGAGGCAGGCGGAAUGCGUGGUGUAGCGGUGAAAUGCUUAGAUAUCACGAAGAACCCCGAUUGCGAAGGCAGCCUGCCAAGCCGUGACUGACGCUGAUGCACGAAAGCGUGGGGAUCAAACAGGAUUAGAUACCCGAGUAGUC